AGGUGCUGCAUGGCUGUCGUCAGCUCGUGUUGUGAAAUGUUGGGUUAAGUCCCGCAACGAGCGCAACCCUUAUCCUUUGUUGCCAGCGGUCCGGCCGGGAACUCAAAGGAGACUGCCAGUGAUAAACUGGAGGAAGGUGGGGAUGACGUCAAGUCAUCAUGGCCCUUACGACCAGGGCUACACACGUGCUACAAUGGCGCAUACAAAGAGAAGCGACCUCGCGAGAGCAAGCGGACCUCAUAAAGUGCGUCGUAGUCCGGAUUGGAGUCUGCAACUCGACUCCAUGAAGUCGGAAUCGCUAGUAAUCGUGGAUCAGAAUGCCACGGUGAAUACGUUCCCGGGCCUUGUACACACCGCCCGUCACACCAUGGGAGUGGGUUGCAAAAGAAGUAGGUAGCUUAACCUUCGGGAGGGCGCUUACCACUUUGUGAUUCAUGACUGGGGUGAAGUCGUAACAAGGUAACCGUAGGGGAACCUGCGGCUGGAUCACCUC
RNAcentral lists this ribosomal RNA (493 nucleotides) under uncultured bacterium. RNAcentral describes it as "bacterial SSU rRNA". It matches the Rfam family "Bacterial small subunit ribosomal RNA", at positions 1036 to 1529 of the family's 1533-position model. The record is from RNAcentral.